RNAcentral lists this long non-coding RNA (299 nucleotides) under Elaeis guineensis (African oil palm). Its description in RNAcentral is "long non-coding RNA (EGUI_LNC001403)". The record is from RNAcentral. Lineage: Eukaryota; Viridiplantae; Streptophyta; Magnoliopsida; Arecales; Arecaceae.
UGCCUAGGAUCUCUGUUGCAUUUAUGUAAAGCCCACAUAAAUGGCCAGUUGGCUGCAUGAAUUGACAAAUGCUGCAAGGUGUACAUAUGCAGUACAUGCAAUUUGUAUGUACUUUCAUCAACACAUCCAUUAAGAUCAGAACAAUAUAAAGGAUGAAUUGUGUGUGGAAGGUUAUCUUUCAUACUCGUAUAGUAUGACAAAAUUUUCGUUGAUGCUUCUUGUUGAAUGUUUGACUUAUCUAAACUCCAACGAAAAGCCAAACAUACCACACAUAAUGGAUCUACCCGUUGUUUCUCAAA